This 239-nucleotide ribosomal RNA is filed under the name uncultured bacterium. Its description in RNAcentral is "partial 16S ribosomal RNA". It matches the Rfam family "Bacterial small subunit ribosomal RNA", at positions 94 to 334 of the family's 1533-position model. The record is from RNAcentral.
AGCGGCGGACGGGUGAGUAACGCGUGGGUAACCUGCCUCAUACAGGGGGAUAACAGUUGGAAACGGCUGCUAAUACCGCAUAAGCGCACAGUACCGCAUGGUACCGUGUGAAAAACUCCGGUGGUAUGAGAUGGACCCGCGUCUGAUUAGCUAGUUGGUGGGUAACGGCCUACCAAGGCGACGAUCAGUAGCCGACCUGAGAGGGUGACCGGCCACAUUGGGACUGAGACACGGCCCAA